This 507-nucleotide long non-coding RNA is filed under the name Salmo salar (Atlantic salmon). RNAcentral's name for it is "lncRNA (ENSSSAG00000119309.1)". Lineage: Eukaryota; Metazoa; Chordata; Actinopteri; Salmoniformes; Salmonidae. The record is from RNAcentral.
UGAAUCGGCGUGUGAGAACGAGGGGUGCGUCACUUGAGUGGGUUGAGUCACUGGCGUGAUCUUCCUGUCCGGGUUGGCUCCCCCCCUUGGGUUGUGCUGUGGGGGAGAUCUUCGUGGGCUAUACUCGGCCUUGUCUCAGGAUGGUAAGUUGGUGGUUGGAGAUAUCCCUCUAGUGGUGUGGGGGUUGUGCUUUGGCAAAGUGGGUGGGGUUAUAUCCUGCCUGUUUGGCCCUGUCCGGGGGUAUCAUCGGACGGGGCCCCAGUGUCUCCCGACCCCUCUUGUCUCAGCCUCCAGUAUUUAUGCUGCAAUAGUUUGUGUCGGGGGGCUGUUAUAUCUGGAGUAUUUCUCCUGUCUUAUCCAGUGUCAUGUGAAUUUAAGUAUGCUCUCUCUUUUUCUUUCUUUCUUUCUUUCUUUCUUUCUUUCUUUCUUUCUUUCUUUCUUUCUUUCUUUCUUUCUUUCUUUCUUUCUUUCUUUCUUUCUUUCUUUCUUUCUUUCUUUCUUUCGGAG